Molecule: ribosomal RNA, 459 nt
Filed under: uncultured bacterium
Lineage: Bacteria
Description: bacterial SSU rRNA
Rfam family: Bacterial small subunit ribosomal RNA
Source: RNAcentral
AUUGAACGCUGGCGGCAGGCCUAACACAUGCAAGUCGAACGGAUCCUUCGGGAUUAGUGGCGGACGGGUGAGUAACACGUGGGAACGUGCCUUUUGGUUCGGAACAACUCAGGGAAACUUGAGCUAAUACCGAAUGUGCCCUUCGGGGAAGAUUUAUCGCCAUUAGAGCGGCCCGCGUCUGAUUAGCUUGUUGGUGAGGUAAAGGCUCACCAAGGCUACGAUCAGUAGCUGGUCUGAGAGGAUGAUCAGCCACAUUGGGACUGAGACACGGCCCAAACUCCUACGGGAGGCAGCAGUGGGGAAUCUUGCGCAAUGGGCGAAAGCCUGACGCAGCCAUGCCGCGUGAAUGAUGAAGGUCUUAGGAUUGUAAAAUUCUUUCACCGGGGACGAUAAUGACGGUACCCGGACGAAGAAGCCCCGGCUAACUUCGUGCCAGCAGCCGCGGUAAGGUGACGCUCU